This 497-nucleotide ribosomal RNA is filed under the name uncultured bacterium. RNAcentral's name for it is "partial 16S ribosomal RNA". It matches the Rfam family "Bacterial small subunit ribosomal RNA", at positions 28 to 507 of the family's 1533-position model. The record is from RNAcentral.
GAUGAACGCUGGCGGCGUGCCUAAUACAUGCAAGUCGAGCGAACGGACUCGAAGCUUGCUUCUCUGAUGUUAGCGGCAGACGGGUGUGUAACACGUGGAUCACCUCCCUCUCUGACUGGUAUACCUUCGGGAAUCCGUCUCUAAUCCCGUAUAAUCUUUUUAACCGCAUUGUUCAAAAGUGAAAGAUGGUCUUGCUGUCACUUCUCGAUGUAUCCGCGCGGCAUUAGCUAGUUGGUAAGGUAACGGCUUACCAAGUCAACGAUGGAUAGCCGAACUGAGAGGGGGAUAGGCGACACGGGAAGUGAGACGGGGACAAGACUACUAAGGGACGCAGCAGAAGGGAAUCGGCGGCAAUGGGCGAAAGCAUGACGGAGCAAGCGCGAGCGAGAGAUGGAGGCGCCGGGAGCGGAAAAAUGUGUUACGAGGGAAGAACACAUGUGAAAGUAACUGAAGAGAUCUUGACGGUACAUAAUGAGAAAGCAACGGCUAACUACGUG